RNAcentral lists this ribosomal RNA (493 nucleotides) under uncultured bacterium. RNAcentral describes it as "partial 16S ribosomal RNA". It matches the Rfam family "Bacterial small subunit ribosomal RNA", at positions 30 to 523 of the family's 1533-position model. The record is from RNAcentral.
AUUGAACGCUGGCGGCAUGCUUUACACAUGCAAGUCGAACGGUAACAGGUUAAGCUGACGAGUGGCGAACGGGUGAGUAAUGCAUCGGAACGUGCCCGGUCGUGGGGGAUAACACUUCGAAAGAAGUGCUAAUACCGCAUACGAUCUGAGGAUGAAAGCGGGGGACCGUAAGGCCUCGCGCGAUCGGAGCGGCCGAUGUCAGAUUAGGUAGUUGGUGGGGUAAAGUCUCACCAAGCCGACGAUCUGUAGCUGGUCUGAGAGGACGACCAGCCACAUUGGGAAUGAGACACGGCCCAGACUCCUACGGGAGGCAGCAUUGGGGAAUUUUGGACAAUGGGCGCAAGCCUGAUCCAGCAAUGCCGCGUGCAGGAAGAAGGCCUUCGGGUUGUAAACUGCUUUUGUACGGAGCGAAAAGGCUCUCUCUAAUACAGGGGGCUCAUGACGGUACCGUAAGAAUAAGCACCGGCUAACUACGUGCCAGCCGCCGCGGUAA